RNAcentral lists this ribosomal RNA (1891 nucleotides) under human gut metagenome. RNAcentral's name for it is "bacterial LSU rRNA". It matches the Rfam family "Bacterial large subunit ribosomal RNA", at positions 3 to 1989 of the family's 2925-position model. The record is from RNAcentral.
UCAAGCUACAAAGAGCACAAGGGGAAUGCCUUGGCACCGAGAGCCGAAGAAGGACGUGACUAACUGCGAUAAGCUGCGGGGAGCCGUAAGUAGGCUUUGAUCCGCAGAUUUCCGAAUGGAGCAAUCCGGCAAGAGGAAAGUCUUGUCAUCAUAUACUGAAUACAUAGGUAUAUGAGGGGAACCGCCUGAACUGAAACAUCUAAGUAGGGCGAGGAAGAGAAAUCAACUGAGAUUCCGUAAGUAGUGGCGAGCGAACGCGGAAGAGGCCAAACCGAGAGUAGUAAUACUUUCGGGGUUCGGACAGAAAACGGUAUUGUAAAGGUUUAGUGGAAUGGAAUGGGAAGUCCAACCGAAGAAGGUGAGAGUCCUGUACACGAAAAGCCUGAGCAGCCAUCUGUAUCCAGAGUACCGCCGGACACGUGAAACCCGGUGGGAAUACGGGGGGACCAUCCUCCAAGCCUAAAUACUACUCGGUGACCGAUAGUGAAGAAGUACUGUGAAGGAAAGGUGAAAAGUACCCCUGACGGGGAGUGAAAAAGAACCUGAAACCUUGUGUUUACAAGCACCGAAAGCUCAUCAAAGAGCGAUCGGGUACCUUUUGUAGAAUGGUCCGGCGAGUGAAUGUAACCGGCGAGGUUAAGCACUUAAGGUGUGAAGCCGCAGCGAGAGCAAGUCUGAAUAGGGCGUAUGAAGUCGGUUGUAUUCGACCCGAAACCGGGUGACCUACCCAUGGUCAGGUUGAAGUAAAGGUAAAACUUUAUGGAGGACCGAACCGACUCCCGUUGAAAUGGUAGCGGAUGAACUGUGGGUAGCGGAGAAAUUCCAAUCGAACCCGGAGAUAGCUGGUUCUCUCCGAAAUAGCUUUAGGGCUAGCCUUGAAAUAGAUUACCGGAGGUAAAGCACUGAAUUGGCUAGGGGCCGAGAGGUUACUGAACCUUAUCAAACUAAGAAUGCCGGAUAAUCGUUUUUCAGGAGUCAGACAGUGGGAGAUAAGUUUCAUUGUCAAAAGGGAAACAGCCCAGACCCACAGCUAAGGUCCCCAAGUAUAGUUAAGUGGAAAAGGAUGUGGAAUUGCACAGACAACCAGGAUGUUGGCUUAGAAGCAGCCACUCAUUAAAAGAGUGCGUAAUAGCUCACUGGUCGAGUGACUCUGCGCCGAAAAUUCAACGGGGCUAAAAUUCAUACCGAAGCUUGGGCUUGACAGAAAUGUCAGGGGUAGGGGAGCGUCGUAUACGAGGUGAAGUCAUAGCGGAAGCGGUGGUGGAUUGUAUACGAGUGAGAAUGCCGGAAUGAGUAGCGAGAAUUAUGUGAGAAUCAUAAUGGCCGAAAGUCUAAGGUUUCCUGAGGAAGGUUCGUCCUCUCAGGGUUAGCCGGGAGCUAAGGUGAGGCGGAAACGCGUAGCCGAUGCACAUACGGUAGAAAUUCCGUAGCCUCCGAAGAUUUAAGCACAGGGACACUUUUGAAGGGCUGAGCCGGGCGUUGGUUGCCCCGGUCGAAAGGGACACGAUUGAGUGGAAGUCAGUUUGGAAAGAGGCGAGAAAAGCUGUGUGUAUAUGAAAGGAGCCCGUACCGCAAACCGACACAGGUAGACAGGAAGAAGAUUCUAAGGCCAGCGGGAGAAGGGUUGUUAAGGAACUCGGCAAGUUGACCCCGUAACUUCGGGAGAAGGGGUGCUUACGAAGGUAAGCCGCAGAGAAUAGGCCCAAGCGACUGUUUAGCAAAAACACAGCUCUAUGCUAAAUCGAAAGAUGACGUAUAUGGGGUGACACCUGCCCGGUGCUGGAAGGUUAAGAGGAGAUGUGAGAGCAUUGAAUUGAAGCCCCAGUAAACGGCGGCCGUAACUAUAACGGUCCUAAGGUAGCGAAAUUCCUUGUCAGGUAAGUUCUGACCC